GAUGAAGAACGCAGCGAAAUGCGAUAAGUAGUGUGAAUUGCAGAAUUCAGUGAAUCAUCGAAUCUUUGAACGCACAUUGCGCCCCUUGGUAUUCCAUGGGGCAUGCCUGUUCGAGCGUCACUUGUACCUUCAAGCUUUGCUUGGUGUUGGGUGUUUGUCUCGCCUUUGCGUGUAGACUCGCCUUAAAAUAAUUGGCAGCCGGCGUAUUGAUUUCGGAGCGCAGUACAUCUCGCGCUUUGCACUCAUAACGACAGCGUCCAAAAGUACAUUUUACACUCUUGACCUCGGAUCAGGUAGGGAUACCCGCUGAACUUAAGCAUAUCAAUAAGCGGAGGA
Molecule: unclassified non-coding RNA, 336 nt
Filed under: soil metagenome
Description: partial contains 5.8S ribosomal RNA, internal transcribed spacer 2, and large subunit ribosomal RNA
Rfam family: 5.8S ribosomal RNA (bases 1-120)
Source: RNAcentral